UACGGAAGGCAGCAGUGGGGAAUAUUGCACAAUGGGCGCAAGCCUGAUGCAGCCAUGCCGCGUGUAUGAAGAAGGCCUUCGGGUUGUAAAGUACUUUCAGCGGGGAGGAAGGCGGUGAAGUUAAUAGCUUCACCGAUUGACGUUACCCGCAGAAGAAGCACCGGCUAACUCCGUGCCAGCAGCCGCGGUAAUACGGAGGGUGCAAGCGUUAAUCGGAAUUACUGGGCGUAAAGCGCACGCAGGCGGUCUGUCAAGUCGGAUGUGAAAUCCCCGGGCUUAACCUGGGAACUGCAUUCGAAACUGGCAGGCUAGAGUCUUGUAGAGGGGGUAGAAUUCCAGGUGUAGCGGUGAAAUGCGUAGAGAUCUGGAGGAAUACCGGUGGCGAAGGCGGCCCCUGGACAAAGCUGACGCUCAGGGUGCGAAAGCGUGGGGAGCGAAACAGGGAUUAGGAU
Molecule: ribosomal RNA, 452 nt
Filed under: uncultured bacterium
Lineage: Bacteria
Description: bacterial SSU rRNA
Rfam family: Bacterial small subunit ribosomal RNA
Source: RNAcentral